This 724-nucleotide ribosomal RNA is filed under the name Propionibacterineae bacterium P3819. RNAcentral's name for it is "bacterial SSU rRNA". It matches the Rfam family "Bacterial small subunit ribosomal RNA", at positions 24 to 744 of the family's 1533-position model. Lineage: Bacteria; Bacillati; Actinomycetota; Actinomycetes; Propionibacteriales. The record is from RNAcentral.
UCAGGACGAACGCUGGCGGCGUGCUUAACACAUGCAAGUCGAGCGGAAAGGCCUCCUUCGGGGGGUACUCGAGCGGCGAACGGGUGAGUAACACGUGAGUGAUCUGCCCUCUACUCUGGGAUAACUGCUUGAAAGGGUGGCUAAUACCGGAUAUUCCUGUGGGAUCGCAUGGUUUUUCAGGGAAAGCUUUUGUGGUGGGGGAUGUGCUCGCGGCCUAUCAGCUUGUUGGUGGGGUAAUGGCCUACCAAGGCUUUGACGGGUAGCCGGCCUGAGAGGGUGACCGGCCACACUGGGACUGAGACACGGCCCAGACUCCUACGGGAGGCAGCAGUGGGGAAUAUUGGACAAUGGGCGGAAGCCUGAUCCAGCAACGCCGCGUGAGGGAUGACGGCCUUCGGGUUGUAAACCUCUUUCAGCACAGACGAAGCUUGUUCCACGUGUGGGGUGGGUGACGGUAUGUGCAGAAGAAGCACCGGCCAACUACGUGCCAGCAGCCGCGGUAAUACGUAGGGUGCGAGCGUUGUCCGGAAUUAUUGGGCGUAAAGGGCUCGUAGGCGGUUUGUCGCGUCGGGAGUGAAAUCCACUGGCUUAACUGGUGGCUUGCUUUCGAUACGGGCAGACUGGAGGUAUGCAGGGGAGAACGGAAUUCCUGGUGUAGCGGUGAAAUGCGCAGAUAUCAGGAGGAACACCGGUGGCGAAGGCGGUUCUCUGGGCAUGUCCUGAC